This 375-nucleotide ribosomal RNA is filed under the name uncultured bacterium. Its description in RNAcentral is "bacterial SSU rRNA". It matches the Rfam family "Bacterial small subunit ribosomal RNA", at positions 29 to 387 of the family's 1533-position model. The record is from RNAcentral.
AACGAACGCUGGCGGUGUGCCUCAUACAUGCAAGUCGUACGCGAAUCCUGCCGCAAGGCAGGGUUUGAGUGGCAAACGGGUGCGUAACACGUAGGUAAUCUUCCUUUGAGUUGGGGAUAAGCCCUCGAAAGGGGGUCUAAUACCGAAUAACACUUCGGGCCGGCAUCGGCCUGAAAUUAAAGAUGGCCUCUGCUUGCAAGCUAUCGCUCGGAGAUGAGCCUGCGGCCGAUUAGUUAGUUGGCGGGAUAAAAGCCCACCAAGACUUCGAUCGGUAGCCGGGUCUGAGAGGAUGUCCGGCCACACUGGGACUGAGAUACGGCCCAGACUCCUACGGGAGCAGCAGUGGGAAUAUUGCGCAAUGGCCGCAAGGCUGAC